CUGCAGGAGUUCCCAUUGUGGCUCAGUGGCUUAAGAACCCAACUAGCAUCCAUGAGGAUGCAGGUUCCAUCUCUGGCCUCACUCAGUGGGUUAAGGAUCUGGCGUUGCUGUGGCUGUGGUGUAGGCCGGCAGCUGUAGCUCCGAUUAGACCCCUAGCCUGGGACCCUCCAUAUGCUACCAUAUAUCCGGGGGACCUAUCCUAGUCACAUGGAACUCUUUUUAAGAAAUCACAUUUUCUAAAAAGCAUUUUUGCAUAUGUGUGUGUUUAAGAAAUAACAUUUUGAAAUAUGAGAAAGAGUUAUUUAAGAGCAGAUAGUAGUGGAAAAGAGAAUUCCACGCAGAUGGAAUAUUCGCAGAGGUCUUGAGUCAAAACCGGGCAUGGCAUUUUAAAACCUGUGGAUUGGAGAAGUGAAAUGAGUAAGGACUUCAGUAAGAAAUAAAACUUGGAGAGUUAAGUUGGGGAACAAAAUUAUGCAGAAUAAAACUGAUAGGACUGUAUAAUAGAGUCGGUGUGGGCCGUGAGGUGCCUCUGGCUCAGGGCCUCCAUGCGCGUGCUCAUGGUCCCGUUCGCUAGAGGGCCACGUUUUGGUGGAAAUGAGCUUGUGUUUGAUUUGAAACAAAAGCAAACAACCAGGUUUAUGUUGUGUGUUGUCAAACUGAAGGAAGACACCUCCCCCCAGACAGUUUUCUUAGAUGACUCCUCUUUAUUGUCUCAGUCUUGUGAGUGUAACGUAGGAAUCUCUUUGGUCCUUAUCUGCCUGAUAACCAUUCCGAUCCUGUUUCUCUAGCAAAAUGUUUAGACUGGUCGGUUGAAUAAGAUCAAGAUGAGUUCUGUUCUGUGCUGCUCUGGAGCUCUGUUUAGCAGACCACAUUGAGUGUCUGUUACAAAGUGCAAGUCAGAAUGUGGAUUCAGUAAGUACUGAUGUUUCCUGGUCCUUGGCCCUCUUUUCUCGCUGGAUUCUCUCCCUAGGUAACCUCGUACUGACUUCUCAUAGUCUCAGGGCCUCCUGAGACUAAGAGCUCCCAGGCACGGAUCCCUGGGCAGACUUGCCCUCUCAUCAGCAGGCGUUCGCCCCUCUUUGCACAGACGUCUCUUCCGGACACAUCACAUUCAGUACGUCCAAAUGCAGACUCCUCAUCCCUCCCCACCAAACCCUAGGGAAUGGCACUGCCAGCUCUCUGUUUUAAAAGCCUGGGAGAGGAGUUCCCUUCGUGGCUCAGCAGUUAAUGAACCCAACUCGUAUCCCUGGGGACACAGGUUCAAUCCCUGGCCUUGCUCAGUGGGUUAAGGAUCUGGCUAACGAUUGCCGUGAGCUGUGGUGUGGGUCGAUAACGAGGCUCGGAUCUGGCGUGGCUGUGGCUGUGGUGUAGGCCAGCACCUGCAGCUCCUGUUCAGUCCCUAGCCUGGGAAUCUCCAUGUGCCGUGAGUGCAGCCCUAAAAU
RNAcentral lists this long non-coding RNA (1442 nucleotides) under Sus scrofa (pig). Its description in RNAcentral is "lncRNA (ENSSSCG00015012452.1)". The record is from RNAcentral. Lineage: Eukaryota; Metazoa; Chordata; Mammalia; Artiodactyla; Suidae.